UACGUAGGUGGCGAGCGUUAUCCGGAAUUAUUGGGCGUAAAGGGUGCGUAGGUGGUCUUUUAAGUGAGAUGUGAAAUCCCGGGGCUUAGCCCCGGAACUGCAUUUCAAACUGGGAGACUAGAGUGCAGGAGAGGAAAGUGGAAUUCCUAGUGUAGCGGUGAAAUGCGUAGAGAUUAGGAGGAACACCAGUGGCGAAGGCGACUUUCUGGACUGUAACUGACACUGAGGCACGAAAGCGUGGGGAGCAAACAGG
This 253-nucleotide ribosomal RNA is filed under the name uncultured bacterium. Its description in RNAcentral is "partial 16S ribosomal RNA". It matches the Rfam family "Bacterial small subunit ribosomal RNA", at positions 524 to 776 of the family's 1533-position model. The record is from RNAcentral.